AGCGUUCUGAAUCUGUGCAGAGAUUUUGUUAGACACCAAACCACUAGGGCUGAUCAGACUUCAAGAUAAGUGAAGUU
This 77-nucleotide microRNA precursor is filed under the name Schistosoma haematobium. RNAcentral's name for it is "mir-3492 microRNA precursor family". It matches the Rfam family "mir-3492 microRNA precursor family". The record is from Rfam by way of RNAcentral. Lineage: Eukaryota; Metazoa; Platyhelminthes; Trematoda; Strigeidida; Schistosomatidae.